UUUUAGCCCCGAUGGUAACGGCAUCCUUAUUAUGGCGGUGUUAGCCAUAAAAGAUAUAGUGUACAGCGGGAAAUAGC
RNAcentral lists this small RNA (77 nucleotides) under Flavobacterium degerlachei. RNAcentral describes it as "Flavo-1 RNA". It matches the Rfam family "Flavo-1 RNA". Lineage: Bacteria; Pseudomonadati; Bacteroidota; Flavobacteriia; Flavobacteriales; Flavobacteriaceae. The record is from RNAcentral.